AGAGUUUGAUCCUGGCUCAGGAUGAACGCUAGCGGCAGGCUUAAUACAUGCAAGUCGAGGGGCAGCACGGUAGCAAUACUGGUGGCGACCGGCGCACGGGUGCGUAACACGUAUACAAUCUGCCUUUAACAGGGGGAUAGCCCGGAGAAAUCCGGAUUAAUACCCCAUAACACUAAGAGUAGCAUUACUUUUGGUUAAAAGCUCCGGCGGUUAGAGAUGAGUAUGCGCCUGAUUAGCUAGUUGGUGAGGUAACGGCUCACCAAGGCGACGAUCAGUAGGGGAUCUGAGGGGAUUAACCCCCACACGGAUACUGAGACACGGAUCCGACUCCUACGGGAGGCAGCAGUAAGGAAUAUUGGACAAUGCCCGCAAGGGUGAUCCAGCCAUGCCGCGUGCAGGAAGACGGCCCUAUGGGUUGUAAACUGCUUUUACACCGGAGAAAACCCCCCUACGUGUAGGGGGCUGAUAGUAUGGUGAGAAUAAGCAUCGGCUAACUUCGUGCCAGCAGCCGCGGUAAGACGAAGGAUGCAAGCGUUAUCCGGAUUCAUUGGGUUUAAAGGGAGCGUAGGUGGCCUUAUAAGUCAGUGGUGAAAUCUCUGGGCUUAACCCAGAAAUUGCCAUUGAUACUGUAGGGCUUGAGUAUAGUUGCCGUUGGCGGAAUAUGACAUGUAGUGGUGAAAUACAUAGAGAUGUCAUAGAACACCGAUUGCGAAGGCAGCUGACGAAACUAUAACUGACACUGAGGCUCGAAAGUGCGGGGAUCAAACAGGAUUAGAUACCCUAGUAGUCC
Molecule: ribosomal RNA, 790 nt
Filed under: uncultured bacterium
Lineage: Bacteria
Description: bacterial SSU rRNA
Rfam family: Bacterial small subunit ribosomal RNA
Source: RNAcentral